GACGAACGCUGGCGGCGUGCUUAACACAUGCAAGUCGAACGGAAAGGCCCUGCUUUUGUGGGGUGCUCGAGUGGCGAACGGGUGAGUAACACGUGAGUAACCUGCCCUUGACUUUGGGAUAACUUCAGGAAACUGGGGCUAAUACCGGAUCGGAGCUCCUGCUGCAUGGUGGGGGUUGGAUAGUUUCGGCGGUUGGGGAUGGACUCGCGGCUUAUCAGCUUGUUGGUGGGGGAGUGGCUUACCAAGGCUUUGACGGGUAGCCGGCCUGUGAGGGUGACCGGCCACAUGGGGACUGAGAUACGGACCAGACUGCAACGGGAGGCAGCAGGGGGGAGUAUUGCACAGUAAGCGGGAGCCUGAUGCAGCAACGCCGCGUGCGGGAUGACGGCCUUCGGGUUGUAAACCGCUUUCGCCUGUGACGAAGCGUGAGUGACGGUAAUGGGUAAAGAAGCACCGGCUAACUACGUG
Molecule: ribosomal RNA, 468 nt
Filed under: uncultured bacterium
Lineage: Bacteria
Description: partial 16S ribosomal RNA
Rfam family: Bacterial small subunit ribosomal RNA
Source: RNAcentral